UGCCAUUUUUUUGUUUUUUUACUUUUUGUUUUUCUAUCUUCUCUAGUGUGGAAGUAC
This 57-nucleotide non-coding RNA is filed under the name uncultured alveolate. The record is from RNAcentral.